RNAcentral lists this ribosomal RNA (266 nucleotides) under uncultured bacterium. RNAcentral's name for it is "partial 16S ribosomal RNA". It matches the Rfam family "Bacterial small subunit ribosomal RNA", at positions 793 to 1055 of the family's 1533-position model. The record is from RNAcentral.
GUCCACGCCGUAAACGAUGAAUGCUAGCCGUUGGCGGGUUUACCCGUCAGUGGCGCAGCUAACUCUUUAAGCAUUCCGCCUGGGGAGUACGGUCGCAAGAUUAAAACUCAAAGGAAUUGACGGGGGCCCGCACAAGCGGUGGAGCAUGUGGUUCAAUUCGACGCAACGCGAAGAACCUUACCGGCUCUUGACAUGUCCCGUAUGGGUUUCAGAGAUGAGAUCCUUCAGUUCGGCUGGCGGGAACACAGGUGCUGCAUGGCUGUCGU